UAGAGUUUGUAGUCCUGGCGUCAGGAGUGAACGACUGGCGGCGAUGCUUAACACAUGCAAGUCGAACGGGAAGUGGUGUUUCCAGUGGUGAACGGGUGAGUAACGCGUAAGAACCUGCCCUUGGAGGGGAACGAACAACUGGAAACGGUUAGCUAAUACCCCGUAGGCUGAGGAGAAAAAGGAAGAAAUCACCCCAAGAGGGGCGUCACGUCUGAUUAGCUAGUUGGUGAGGUAAUAGCUUACCAAGGCGAUGAUCAGUAGCUGGCCCGAGAGGAUGAUCAACCACACUGGGACUGAGACACGACCCAGACUCCUACGGGAGGCAGCAGUGGGGAAUUUUUUCGCAAUGGGCGAAAGCCUGACGGAGCAAUGCCGCGUGGAGGUGGAAGGCCUACGGUUCGUCAACUUCUCUUCUCGGAGAAGAAACAAUGACGGUAUCUGAGGAAUAAGCAUCGGCUAACUCUGUG
RNAcentral lists this ribosomal RNA (467 nucleotides) under uncultured bacterium. RNAcentral's name for it is "bacterial SSU rRNA". It matches the Rfam family "Bacterial small subunit ribosomal RNA", at positions 1 to 507 of the family's 1533-position model. The record is from RNAcentral.